Molecule: ribosomal RNA, 452 nt
Filed under: uncultured bacterium
Lineage: Bacteria
Description: bacterial SSU rRNA
Rfam family: Bacterial small subunit ribosomal RNA
Source: RNAcentral
AACGAACGCUGGCGGCAGGCCUAACACAUGCAAGUCGAACGCCCUAGCAAUAGGGAGUGGCAGACGGGUGAGUAACGCGUGGGAACCUUCCCUAUAGUACGGAAUAUACCAGGGAAACUUGGAGCAAUACCGUAUACGCCCGAAAGGGGAAAGAUUUAUCGCUAUAGGAUGGGCCCGCGUAGGAUUAGCUAGUUGGUGAGGUAAUGGCUCACCAAGGCGACGAUCCUUAGCUGGUCUGAGAGGAUGAUCAGCCACACUGGGACUGAGACACGGCCCAGACUCCUACGGGAGGCAGCAGUGGGGAAUAUUGGGCAAUGGGCGCAAGCCUGACCCAGCCAUGCCGCGUGAGUGACGACGGCCUUAGGGUUGUAAAGCUCUUUUGGCGGGGACGAUAAUGACGGUACCCGCAGAAUAAGCCCCGGCUAACUUCGUGCCAGCCGCCGCCGUAAAAC